AGUCCUGAAGUUUGGCUCUCUAGCUCCGUCACUUGUGUAAACCAACUUACAUAACCUUCGUGAGCUUCAGUGUCUUUACCAUCCUUAUGGGAUGAUUGGGAAGAUGGAGUUAACACAGAACCUUUAAUCAUGGCUUCCAAGAUCGCCUUUUCUUCCCCUGGAGUAGCCACAUAAGAAGGUCAGAGCAGAAGCGUCAGAUACUAGGCUUCUGUGCAAAAGAACUUCUAUCAGAUACUGCCAUUUCAGGUUGCUUACUAAUUCAACGAGAAAGAGGUGCCUUUACCAAGAGAAGAGGGGCAUACCGCACCUGACCAAGGGAUCAAAUUAAGCAUGACAGUGAUCGACUGACACCAUGUGCCUUCUGAUGUGAUGGAGUGUAUUCUUAAAAAAAAUGUAUUUAGGGGCUUCCCUGGUGGCGCAGUGGUUGGGAGUCUGCCUGUGAAUGCAGGGGACACGGGUUCAAGCCCUGGUCUGGGAGGAUCCCACAUGCCGCGGAGCAACUAGGCCCGUGAGCCACAACUACUGAGCCUGCGCGUCUGGAGCCUGUGCUCCGCAACAAGAGAGGCCGCGAUAGUGAGAGGCCCGCGCACAGCAAUGAAGAGUGGCCCCCACUUGCCACAACUAGAGAAAGCCCUCGCACAGAAAUGAAGACCCAACACAGCCAAAAAUAAAUUAAUUAAUUAAUUAAAAUAAAUAAAGGAAUUCCUUUAAAAAAAAAAAUGUAUUUAACUCAAAUCCAAUCAUGAGUGAAUAAUCAACCAAAUUCACAUUGUGGAAACUUCUACAAGACUACUAGCAUGUACUCUUCAAAAAUGUCAGUGAAAGACAACUGAAAAGGCAGGGGAUAAUUCUUAACUAAAGGAGACCAAAGAGCUAAGACAA
Long non-coding RNA from Balaenoptera ricei (Rice's whale), 882 nucleotides. RefSeq lists it as uncharacterized. The record is from RefSeq and is a predicted model, not a curated record. The transcript has 3 exons. NCBI's taxonomy places the organism in Eukaryota, Metazoa, Chordata, Mammalia, Artiodactyla, Balaenopteridae.